UCGAAUAUUCCGGGGAGCUUGUAUGGCAGGCUGAGAGGAAGUAAUCAAACUUUGACCCAUAUACCUGAUUUGGAUAAUGCCAACGUAGGGAAGCCUGUGGUGUUAUGUU
RNAcentral lists this non-coding RNA (109 nucleotides) under Propionispora sp. 2/2-37. RNAcentral describes it as "TPP riboswitch aptamer (THI element)". It matches the Rfam family "TPP riboswitch aptamer (THI element)". From Rfam's summary of the family: Vitamin B(1) in its active form thiamin pyrophosphate (TPP) is an essential coenzyme that is synthesised by coupling of pyrimidine and thiazole moieties in bacteria. The previously detected thiamin-regulatory element, thi box was extended, resulting in a new, highly conserved RNA secondary structure, the THI element, which is widely distributed in eubacteria and also occurs in some archaea. The record is from Rfam by way of RNAcentral. Lineage: Bacteria; Bacillati; Bacillota; Negativicutes; Selenomonadales; Sporomusaceae. RNAcentral also lists the same sequence under 1 other name.